GACGAACGCUGGCGGCGUGCUUAACACAUGCAAGUCGAACGGAAAGGCCCAGCUUUCUGUGUACUCGAGUUGCGAACGGGUGGGUAAGACAUGGGUGGUCUGCCCUCAACUUUGGGAUAAGCCUAUGAAACUGGGUCGAAUACCUGAUAGGAUCAACUUUCGCAUGGUUGGUUGUGGAAAGCUUGUGCGGUUUGGGAUGGGCCCGCGGCCUAUCAGCGUGUUGGUGGGGUAAUGGUCUACGAAGGCGACGACGGGUAGCCGACCUGAGAGGGUGAUCGGCCACCAUGGGCCUGAGACACGGAGCAGACUCCUACGGGAGGCAGCAGUGGGGAACAUUGCACAAUGGGCGCAAGCCUGAUGCAGCGACGCCGCGUGCGGGAUGACGGCCUUCGGGUUGUAAACAUCUUUCACCAGGGACGAAGCGUGAGUGACGGUACCUGGAGAAGAAGCAACGGCCAACUACGUG
Molecule: ribosomal RNA, 466 nt
Filed under: uncultured bacterium
Lineage: Bacteria
Description: partial 16S ribosomal RNA
Rfam family: Bacterial small subunit ribosomal RNA
Source: RNAcentral